GAUGAAGAACGCAGCGAAAUGCGAUAAGUAGUGUGAAUUGCAGAAUUCAGUGAAUCAUCGAAUCUUUGAACGCACAUUGCGCCCCUUGGUAUUCCAUGGGGCAUGCCUGUUCGAGCGUCAUUUGUACCUUCAAGCUUUGCUUGGUGUUGGGUGUUUGUCUCGCCUUUGCGUGUAGACUCGCCUUAAAAUAAUUGGCAGCCGGCGUAUUGAUUUCGGAGCGCAGUACAUCUCGCGCUUUGCACUCAUAACGACAGCGUCCAAAAGUACAUUUUACACUCUUGACCUCGGAUCAGGUAGGGAUACCCGCUGAACUUAAGCCUAUCAAUAAGCGGAGGA
This 336-nucleotide unclassified non-coding RNA is filed under the name soil metagenome. Its description in RNAcentral is "partial contains 5.8S ribosomal RNA, internal transcribed spacer 2, and large subunit ribosomal RNA". The stretch from base 1 to 120 matches the Rfam family "5.8S ribosomal RNA", at positions 35 to 154 of the family's 154-position model. The record is from RNAcentral.